Molecule: long non-coding RNA, 727 nt
Filed under: Ursus maritimus (polar bear)
Lineage: Eukaryota; Metazoa; Chordata; Mammalia; Carnivora; Ursidae
Description: lncRNA (ENSUMAG00000002418.1)
Source: RNAcentral
UCAGAAUGAGAAUUCAUUAUGCCAUUAUUUUACAGGAUACACUGGAUUAAUAACAUCAUUGGCCUUAGCAAUCAUCCGGUCUUCCUAUGAACUACGAAACUUGAGAUGCCUUAGAUUACAAUUAAUCAUUACUUGGUCACUACCAAAUAGAAUCCAAGGCUGAAGCAGCUUGCCUGGAUUCUUCAUUUUUAUUCCAUGCAAGCAUUCACUGAUGGCUGUACCAUUGGGUAAACUAUCUCAGCUGGUAAAACAAAGAGACUCACAAUGCCAGUAGAUCUUAUUCUUCUCCUACGUGUCUGUCCAGAAGUAGGCAGUGCAAGGAAUGAGAUAAGGCAAAACACUCCAGUUAAUGGAACACAAGCUACUAAUUUCCUGAAGACGACAAAGGGAGGGGAGUGCAUCGCUCCGACGUGGGAUGACCAGUUUUCUUUAAUCUCCAUGCUGACAAAGAGAUGCUGUGUCAAAGGAGAAAGUGAUCGGAGAGGCAGCCUUAGAUCAAAACCGAGAAUAAAGAAGAGCUAAACAAUGGCUCUUAUCAGUUCCAAAGGGUGUGCGCCUACAUUUUAAUCAUUUGUGAAUAGCGCUUCCUCCAUGGUAUUUUUUCCUGGCUCCCGAAAAAGCAGUGCCUCUCUUCCAAAUGCAAGAACAUGGAAUUAUCGUCACAAUCUCACCUUAUUUGCAUGAGAAUGUGGAAGACCCACAAGAACACUCGCUGUUUGGAAAUGAA